Molecule: long non-coding RNA, 771 nt
Organism: Juglans microcarpa x Juglans regia
Lineage: Eukaryota; Viridiplantae; Streptophyta; Magnoliopsida; Fagales; Juglandaceae
Exons: 2
Source: RefSeq, a predicted model, not a curated record
CCCACCCUUCCCAAAACUUUCACCCCCUUCCCGAUACUUCCCCCCCUUUUUCUCACUCUCUCUGUUGUUCUCGACUGCGAUUGUCGACUCCGGUGCUAUUGUCACCACUAUCUCGCCGCCUCGCCGAUGCCGGUGAGCUUGUAUUUCAGAUUUUUGGUCUCCAUCCAUCUCUCUCUCUCUCUCUCUCUCUCUCUCUCUCUCGUCUUCGCAAAGUGGUUUCCGAUUGCCAGUGCCGCCAUCUUCUCUCCAACCCCAAUAGAUACAGCAGAAAAGGAGGGACCUGCUAGUCUGCUCCUGACCCUACAUGUGCAUGAUAGACAAGGAAGUAAAUCAACCUUCCAAAAAUGGACAAAAGUAAUUCAAGAAAAGAAGAAAUACCCACCAUUUUUUUAAUCCUUUUGGUGUUUGUGUAGCUUUGGUUUGUUAAGUUCUUCAUUGAGGGCCACAACUUCUAUAUCUAUCAGUCAUGGGGGUUGGAGAAUAAGUUACUGUGUACGACUACUUUUUUAGGAUAACAGAUGAACCUGGAAAUCAAUAAGGAGACUUGUGCUCACUAAAACCAGUUUGAGAUACUGAAUUUUCAGAAAGUUGUAGGUUUAGAACAUAUACUGCCCUUUAAAAUGUAUUGUUCAUGAGAGGUACAACAUACAAGCACAUUAGCUGCAACCAUAUAAUUUGUUGGUCCAACAAAUUCUGCCUUUACAAUUUUGCUUUGUGAACUCAGAAAAGGAUUCCAUCCUUGAAGAAUUUGAUUGAAAAGCAAGGUUGUGA